GCAGUAGCAAUACUGUGGGUGGCGAGUGGCGGACGGGUGAGGAAUACAUCGGAAUCUACCUUGUCGUGGGGGAUAACGUAGGGAAACUUACGCUAAUACCGCAUACGAACUAUGGUUGAAAGCGGCGGACCGCAAGGCGUCGCGCGAUUGGAUGAGCCGAUGUCCGAUUAGCUAGUUGGCGGGGUAAAGGCCCACCAAGGCGACGAUCGGUAGCUGGUCUGAGAGGAUGAUCAGCCACACUGGAACUGAGACACGGUCCAGACUCCUACGGGAGGCAGCAGUGGGGAAUAUUGGACAAUGGGCGCAAGCCUGAUCCAGCCAUGCCGCGUGUGUGAAGAAGGCCUUCGGGUUGUAAAGCACUUUUGUUGGGGAAGAAAAGCACUCAAUUAAUACCUGGGUGUUCUGACGGUACCCAAAGAAUAAGCACCGGCUAACUUCGUGCCAGCAGCCGCGGUAAUACGAAGGGUGCAAGCGUUACUCGGAAUUACUGGGCGUAAAGCGUGCGUAGGUGGUGAGUUAAGUCUGUCGUGAAAGCCCCGGGCUCAACCUGGGAAUGGCGAUGGAUACUGGCUCGCUAGAGUGCGGUAGAGGAGAGUGGAAUUCCCGGUGUAGCAGUGAAAUGCGUAGAGAUCGGGAGGAACAUCAGUUGCGAAGGCGGCUCUCUGGACCAGCACUGACACUGAGGCACGAAAGCGUGGGGAGCAAAC
RNAcentral lists this ribosomal RNA (707 nucleotides) under uncultured Pseudomonadota bacterium. RNAcentral's name for it is "bacterial SSU rRNA". It matches the Rfam family "Bacterial small subunit ribosomal RNA", at positions 73 to 773 of the family's 1533-position model. The record is from RNAcentral. Lineage: Bacteria; Pseudomonadati; Pseudomonadota.